Molecule: ribosomal RNA, 289 nt
Filed under: uncultured bacterium
Lineage: Bacteria
Description: partial 16S ribosomal RNA
Rfam family: Bacterial small subunit ribosomal RNA
Source: RNAcentral
AUUGAACGCUGGCGGCAGGCUUAACACAUGCAAGUCGAACGAGAACGCACCUUCGGGUGUUAUUAGAGUGGCAAACGGGUGAGUAACACGUGGGAACGUACCUUUCAGUCUGGAAUAGCCCCGGGAAACUGGGAUUAAUGCCGGAUAUUCUCUACGGAGGAAAGAUUUAUCGCUGAAAGAUCGGCCCGCGUUAGAUUAGUUUGUUGGUGAGGUAACGGCUCACCAAGACUACGAUCUAUAGCUGGUCUGAGAGGAUGAUCAGCCACACUGGGACUGAGAUACGGCCCAG